Salmo salar (Atlantic salmon) is the source of this 2341-nucleotide long non-coding RNA. RefSeq lists it as uncharacterized. The record is from RefSeq and is a predicted model, not a curated record. NCBI's taxonomy places the organism in Eukaryota, Metazoa, Chordata, Actinopteri, Salmoniformes, Salmonidae.
CUGAGGAUCGCGUUACCCUUAUUAUUAACUCGAUUCUAAUGAAUGAGAGCACACCCAGACAUGCUUCAGCUCAGCUUGUAUAAAAAGAGAAAAAGGUGCUCAACGGAGGAUUUAGAAAUCCAAAAAUAAACAUCUUACCCCAGGACCCUUCACAAGAUCACUAUCCCAGAAAACUGGUUGGUUCAUGGUUGGUUCAUGAGUUGGACGUGAUAAGAGGUCAAGGACCACAGCAGGCAGGCGUAAUUCUAGCCCUGCUCAAUCCUGCUUUAUCUCGGCCUCGGAGAAGAUGUGAUCCGGAUGCAGAGGAGGGUGCGCUCGGGGGGAGAGUGGAGACAGGCGUCUCUUGAGUUGGAUGUGACCUGAUGUGAUGUGACGUGGACUUGCGUCUGCCUCCAUGGAAUACCAUCUUCCACAUCAAGAACGGAAGAACGUAAAAGAGAACUAUGAUCAGAAGAAAAACGAAUUAUGAACUUACCAGACAUGUUGUAAAAUCUAAGAAAGAGUCCUGGAAGAAGAGCAGUUAUGAGAUUCCACAAUGUCCUUUUCUAGCUCAGUUAUAUGGGCUAUAAUGAAAUAUUCAUAAAAAUCACACAAAUUCUCAACACACAAGUCUUAAAACUGUCUCAGAGCAUACAAUAAUAUCCUAAUAUAGCUAGGGAUGUAUUAGUUUGUGAAAUUUUCUCUCCAUGCCUACUUUUUAAAACCCCUAGAACUCAAUGAUUUGACAAUGAUUUGAUUGCGCGUUACUUUCAAUUUGAAUAUUCAAAGGCUACACAAAAAUACAUAUUUUUCAGUAUAAAUCAAUACAUAUGCACUUAAAAUAACAUUCCAUUUAAUAGAAUACAGCACUAUUUUAUACCCAACCCGAAAAGAAAUUGAUAUUUUAAACAUUUUAUCCAUCUUUUGCCAAUCUGGCCAUCAGUCCCCCUUCAUAAUGAGGCCCUACAGGAAAGUAACGGUAAGAUGCUCUAUCUAAACAGCACCAACCAUUACACAUCGCAGAUCAUAUGUAUUUCAGAAUGGAUAAGCACAUCAACACGUUAUGACCAUAAAUUCUUUGUCUUAUUUUAAACAACAAAAUAUUAAAUGUCUCGGCUGUGGGCGUGGCAGCCAUUUCUGCCAUCAUUGACUCCAUUGCUCCUUCAGCAAGUGCAUGCUCUCCAUCCCCGGAGCUCACAUCACCCAUGUGUUACCAAUUCUAUUACAGGGGUUUAGCAUUAUUUAGUUUAGUUACAUGAAUUAUAUUCAUUAUUCAUAUAACUAUAAAGACGGAAAGUUUCAGUCAUUCACAUGUGAAACCUGAUUUGACAUCCCAGGGCUAGGCUACUUUAUAGGUAGCCUAUAAAAUAUAGAGAGUCUAUAGACUAUCUAUAAAGUAGCCUACUCGAAUCCAGAAAACUUUUUACAAAUGAGUUUCAAUGCAAAAACUCUGUUUACAUAUGUCGGAUAUAAUUUGAAUUCAAUGAGGAGACUCCUUGAUCGCUCUACUUGUGUAUCCUGGGCCUACUUAGAUGUGGGCAAAGUAUUUUCAAUUUAUAGACUUAUUGGAAUAGGGUUACUGUCCAUGCCUGUUUUAAUGUAUAAGAGUUUCUCUCACGGCACCAAGCGUAAUGUUUGGGGAGGAAAUUGCAACCCCAGAAAUAAAAAUAAUAAAACAUUGUAACGUUAGAUAUAUCAGAACACUAGCAUAAUAUUCUUGGUAGUUACGAUAAUGGGCCUAGGUCCUACUUUAUGGAAGGUGAGAAGUUGGUCAAGACGCCAAUUCAACUACCCAGUGGAGAUGAUGGGUUUUAAGCCUACAUGAUAGGAUCAUUGCAUAGGCACCUACCAGUAUAAAUCAGGAAAGGCAAUAGAUUGUUUUGGGCAUAUAGUGUGUGUAUUUUUUCAAUAUAUGAAUGAUGAUAAUGAUAUAUCGAUACCCCAAAACGGAAAGCUAAGCAAUGUUAAUUAAAACGAGGUAUAUGUUUGUGUUUAUUGUUUGAUAUGUUUGUAAAUUGUUAUUCAAAUGUAGGCUAACAACGGCAAUGGAAGAACACUUAUAGGAAACGGGUUUCUCUAAGGCAAUGUGCUCAUGUUUUCUUCAAAUAUUUGAGUGAAAAUUGCCUUCUGAUAACAUGUUGUUUGUUCAUAUCAUAUGUAUUAAAGGAAGAAGUAACAUGAAACAACUGCGCCAUCUAGUGUAGGAUAUACGUAAGUGGGCUCUCCGUCUUAAUUGAAUGCAGUGGCAAAAUCGUUUUUUUCUCCAUGUGUAAUUUUAUCAAACAAUAUGUUUAAUUUUCAUGCAUUUAUUGCAGUCUCUUUUAUUAUAUUGGAUUUAUAAUACACAUUCUACUGCCCAAUA